AGUGUUUGUGGAAAAAAGUGCGAAAAUGGUGUGACGCUGCUAACGCUGUGAUGGAAAUUCACAAUUUUUGGUGUAAAAAAGCAUUGUUAUGUUUUUUUUUCUUCUUCCCGGACUGUAAAACAACACCAAAGUACUCCGGAAAAUACUUAAUAUCAUACAGGCAGCGGCAUCAGCUGCGCUCAAUCACCAUCAACUUCUUCCAUACAAAGUGAUGAAGACAAAUCCUAAAUAUGCCGCCCUCCAGUUACUGUUGAGGUGAAGAAGGAAGAUGUUGAAGUUGCUGCGAUGCAGCAACCGGAAGCAGCUGUUCAGGAGAAUGGUGUACAAAAGCAGGAGGGUUAAAAGCAAAAUCCGGAGCAACAGAAGCAGCAAGGUGAGGUAAUAAAGAGCGUAAUAAAGUGAAGGAAGCUGCCCAGGAGGUUGUUGAAAGGCUCUCUCUCUGUACCUGAGAUGCAGAGAGAAAAAGCCAAACUGGCUGUUAUGUCAGUUUUGAAGGAACAGAGAAGGAGCGAAUAGUUGUCUUCCAUCGUGUUAUCACGAUGGAAGAUCACGAUUGAGAAGAACCUCCAGGAAUUGGGUGAGCAGCAAACAAUUCUGGACAAUUUCUUCUCUAAGGAUGGUUGUCGAUUACGUCAGGACUAUUCUCUACACCAUCGUGUGAGGAGUGUCACCUUUUAACGUUUCCUGGCGGAACAGUGCUUCGACAUGACAAAGUUGCAGGACAUCUGGGGGAAGGACAAACUCUAUGGUAUCAAAGUGGCCGUUGCGGGGCUACAGGAACUCAAGGAGGAUGACAAGAAGGACCUAAUGGAUCUCCUUGAUUGUCAUUUUGAUCCGGAGAAGCAGAUAAUUAAGCCAGUGUCCCGGAAGACUAACAAGUGGCGCUUUCAGAAGAGACAAACUUCGAGAAUUUCAACAAUAAUCAACAGAGAAGCAAUCAGCAGAAUCACAAUGGUGAAAACCAUCAGGAUAACAACAAGAACUAUCAGCAUGGCAACAAUCAUUUGAGUGGUCGCACCAGGGGUAAAUUAAUUAAUUAUUUGUAGAAAAAAAAAAGAUCUCUGGGUAUUUUAAAGAAACAGAAAAGAAUCUUUUAAGUAUAUUUAAUUUAUUAAUUUGUUAAAAAAGGAUCUUUUUCUUCUUUUAAGAAUUCUUGAAUUAAAAAAGAUUUUUUCUGUGUAAAGAAUUUAGGGUAUCUCGAAAGAGAAAGAAAAGAAUCUUUUAAAAAAAUUUAAUUAAUUAAUUUGUUGAAAGAAUGAAUGAAUGAAUAAUGGUUUAAAGAAAAAAAUCUUAAAAAUCUUAAAAGGAAGUGAAAAAAAUUCCUUUAAGAAUAAUUAAUUAAUUUUUUAGGAAAAAAAGAUUUUUUUCUUUAAAGAAUACUUGAAUUAAAAAUGAUUUUUUUCUCUGUGAAGAAUUUUUGAUAUUUUGAAGGAAAAAGAAAAGAAUUCUUAAAUUAAUUUGUUAAGAAAGAUUUUUUUCCUUUAAAAGAAUUCUUGUAUAAAAAAUGAUUCAUUUUCUUAAAAACUUUUGGGUUAAUUGAAGGAGAUAGAAUUCCUAAAUUAAUUUGUUAAGAAAGAUCUUUCUCUUAAGAAUUUUUGGGUUAUUCGAAGGAGAAAGAAUUCUUGAAUUCAUUUGUUAAGAAAGGUCUUUUCGUUAUAUAGAACUUUUGAGUCUUUUGAAGGAGAUAGAAAACUUGAAUUAAUUUGUGAAGAAAGAUUUUUUUCUUCUUAAGAACUUUUGGGUUAUUUAAAGGAGAUAGAAUUCUUAAAUUAAUUUGUUAUGAAAGAUCUUUUUCUUAUAAAGAACUUUUGGGUUAUUUGAAAGAGAAAGAAUUUUUUGAAUUAAUUUGUUAAGAAAAAUCUUUUUCCUUUUAAAGAAUUCUUUUAUUAAAAAUGAUUCAUUUUUUUUCUUAAGAACUUUUGGGUUAUUUGACGGAGAAAGAAUUUUUUGAAUUAAUUUAUUAGGAAAUAUCUUUCUCUUCUUAAGAACUUUUGGGUUAUUUGAAGGAAAUAGAAAACUUGAAUUAAUUUGUGAAGAAAGAUCUUUUUCUUAUUAAGAACUUUUGGGUUAUUUGAAGGAGAAAGAUUUUUUUGAAUUAAUUUAUUAGGAAAGAUCUUUCUCUUCUUAAGAACUUUUGGGUUAUUUGAAGGAAAUAGAAAACUUGAAUUAAUUUGUGAAGAAAGAUCUUUUUCUUAUUAAGAACUUUUGGGUUAUUUAAAGGAGAAAGAUUUUUUUGAAUUAAUUUGUUAGGAAAGAUCUUUCUCUUCUUAAGAACUUUUGGGUUAUAUGACAGAGAAAGAAUUCUUGAAUUAAUUUGUUAAGAAAAAUCUUUUUCCUUUUAAAGAAUUCUUUUAUUAAAAAUGAUUCAUUUUUUUUCUUAAGAACUUUUGGGUUAUUUGAAGGAGAAAGAAUUUUUUGAAUUAAUUUAUUAGGAAAUAUCUUUCUCUUCUUAAGAACUUUUGGGUUAUUUGAAGGAAAUAGAAAACUUGAAUUAAUUUGUGAAGAAAGAUCUUUUUCUUAUUAAGAACUUUUGGGUUAUUUGAAGGAGAAAGAUUUUUUUGAAUUAAUUUAUUAGGAAAGAACUUUCUCUUCUUAAGAACUUUUGGGUUAUUUGAAGGAAAUAGAAAACUUGAAUUAAUUUGUGAAGAAAGAUCUUUUUCUUAUUAAGAACUUUUGGGUUAUUUAAAGGAGAAAGAUUUUUUUGAAUUAAUUUGUUAGGAAAGAUCUUUCUCUUCUUAAGAACUUUUGGGUUAUAUGACAGAGAAAGAAUUCUUGAAUUAAUUUGUUAAGAAAAAUCAUUUUCCUUUUAAAAAAUUCUUGUAUUAAAAAUGAUUCAUUUUCUUCUUAAGAACGUUUUGGUUAUUUGAAGGAAAUAAAAAACUUGAAUUAAUUUGUUAAGAAAAA
This is a long non-coding RNA of Lutzomyia longipalpis, 2904 nucleotides long. RefSeq lists it as uncharacterized. The record is from RefSeq and is a predicted model, not a curated record. Lineage: Eukaryota; Metazoa; Arthropoda; Insecta; Diptera; Psychodidae. The transcript is spliced from 3 exons.